GAGCCCCGACGGCUCGUCGCUGACACCUCUUGAGGGUGUUUGAGGAAAGUCCGGGCAACACAGAGCACCAUAUUUCCUAACGGGAAGCUAUCGGACGACGGUAGAGACAACGUGACAGAAAACAACCGCCCAUACGGGUAAGGGUGAAAAGGCGGGGUAAGAGCCCACCGGGCGCUAUAGUGAUAUAGCGCGCCGCACGUCUUAUGGGUUGCAAGGUCAAGUAUACCGGCAUUCAAGGGCUGCUCGUCCAUUGCCGGGGGGUAGACUGCUAUAGUGACCGUGGCGACACGGCACACAGAUAAAUGACGGGCCGGCAUGACAUCUCAUCACUCAUACGAGCCGAUGACAGUACCAUGCCGACAUAACCCGGCUUACAGUCGGGGCCACCCC
This 390-nucleotide RNase P RNA is filed under the name Muribaculaceae bacterium. Its description in RNAcentral is "RNase P RNA component class A". It matches the Rfam family "Bacterial RNase P class A". From Rfam's summary of the family: Ribonuclease P (RNase P) is a ubiquitous endoribonuclease, found in archaea, bacteria and eukarya as well as chloroplasts and mitochondria. Lineage: Bacteria; Pseudomonadati; Bacteroidota; Bacteroidia; Bacteroidales; Muribaculaceae. The record is from RNAcentral.